AAGGGGAGCCGGAUGAUCGCGUAUAGGCUGCGGGCUGCCGUUAAGGCCGCUCAAAACGUCGAUAUGAGGAAAGUCCGAACACCCCUUCGAUCUUUAUCGAUCAUGGAAGUAGGUAGUUGGUAACGCCAACCGUGUCAGCAUGCGUUUAGAGGGCUCGCUCGAGCGCUCUCGCGGCAAGCGGGCAUAGGGAAUAGUGCCACAGAGACUACACUGCCGAUGGGUUCGUCCUGCAAAGGUCUAACCACAGGCAAUAGGUGAAAAGCGUGAGGUAAGAGCUCACGGCGCGCUGCGGUGACGUAACGCGAUGGAAAACCCUACCUGGUGCAAGAGCAAGAAAUGGUUGCUCGCACGAGCUUGGUCGCGAGGCCAAGCCCAGAGAGAUGAUCAUCGCGCGGUAUUGAGAGUGCACACGUACUCAACAUGUCGCGUACAGAAUUCGGCUUACAGGCUACCCUUGGCA
RNAcentral lists this RNase P RNA (460 nucleotides) under bacterium. RNAcentral describes it as "RNase P RNA component class A". It matches the Rfam family "Bacterial RNase P class A". Rfam says of the family: Ribonuclease P (RNase P) is a ubiquitous endoribonuclease, found in archaea, bacteria and eukarya as well as chloroplasts and mitochondria. Its best characterised activity is the generation of mature 5'-ends of tRNAs by cleaving the 5'-leader elements of precursor-tRNAs. The record is from RNAcentral.